RNAcentral lists this ribosomal RNA (465 nucleotides) under uncultured bacterium. RNAcentral describes it as "partial 16S ribosomal RNA". It matches the Rfam family "Bacterial small subunit ribosomal RNA", at positions 28 to 507 of the family's 1533-position model. The record is from RNAcentral.
GACGAACGCUGGCGGCGUGCUUAACACAUGCAAGUCGUACGGUAAGGCCCUUUCGGGGGUACACGAGUGGCGAACGGGUGAGUAACACGUGAGUAACCUGCCCACAACUUUGGGAUAACGCUAGGAAACUGGUGCUAAUACUGGAUAUGUGCUCCUGCUGCAUGGGGGGGGUUGGAAAGCUCCGGCGGUUGUGGAUGGACUCGCGGCCUAUCAGCUUGUUGGUGGGGUAGUGGCCUACCAAGGCGGCGACGGGUAGCCGGCCUGAGAGGGUGACCGGCCACACUGGGACUGAGAUACGGCCCAGACUCCUACGGGAGGGAGCAGUGGGGAAUAUUGCCCGAUGGGCGCAGGCCUGAUGCAGCAACGCCGCGUGCGGGAUGACGGCCUUCGGGGUGAAAACCGAUUUCAGCAGGGACGAAGCUUUUUGUGACGGUACCUGCAGAAGAAGCACCGGCUAACUACGUG